UACGUAGGGUGCGAGCGUUAAUCGGAAUUAUUGGGCGUAAAGCGCGCGCAGGCGGCUAUUUAAGUCUGGUGUUUAAACCUUGGGCUCAACCUGAGGUCGCACUGGAAACUGGGUGGCUUGAGUACAGAAGAGGAAAGUGGAAUUCCACGUGUAGCGGUGAAAUGCGUAGAUAUGUGGAGGAACACCAGUGGCGAAGGCGACUUUCUGGGCUGUAACUGACGCUGAGGCGCGAAAGCGUGGGGAGCAAACAGG
Molecule: ribosomal RNA, 252 nt
Filed under: uncultured bacterium
Lineage: Bacteria
Description: partial 16S ribosomal RNA
Rfam family: Bacterial small subunit ribosomal RNA
Source: RNAcentral